Molecule: transfer RNA, 85 nt
Filed under: Bacteroidales bacterium
Lineage: Bacteria; Pseudomonadati; Bacteroidota; Bacteroidia; Bacteroidales
Description: tRNA-Leu
Rfam family: tRNA
About the family: Transfer RNA (tRNA) molecules are approximately 80 nucleotides in length.
Source: RNAcentral
GCCCAGGUGGCGGAAUAGGUAGACGCGCUGGACUUAAAAUCCAGUGAUCAUUGCGAUCGUGCCGGUUCGAUCCCGGCCCCGGGUA